Molecule: ribosomal RNA, 390 nt
Filed under: uncultured bacterium
Lineage: Bacteria
Description: bacterial SSU rRNA
Rfam family: Bacterial small subunit ribosomal RNA
Source: RNAcentral
GACGAACGCUGGCGGCGUGCUUAAUACAUGCAAGUCAACGAUUUUUAAGAUAGCAAUAUUUUAAAAUAGUGGCGCACGGUGAGUAACACGUAGAUAAUCUGCCUUUAGGUCUGACAUAACUCGUCGAAAGACGGGCUAAUAUCAGAUAAAACAAUAACUUGGCAUCAAGUAAUUGUCAAAAGCUUCGGCGCCCAAAAGAUGAGUCUGCGGACCAUUAGGUAGUUGGUGGAUUAACAGCCCACCAAGCCAACGAUGGAUAGCUGGUCUGAGAGGAUGAUCAGCCACACUGGAACUGAGACACGGUCCAGACUCCUACGGGAGGCAGCAGUAAGGAAUAUUGCUCAAUGGGCGCAAGCCUGAUGCAGCAACGCCGCGUGAGGGAUGACGGCC